This 441-nucleotide ribosomal RNA is filed under the name uncultured bacterium. RNAcentral describes it as "partial 16S ribosomal RNA". It matches the Rfam family "Bacterial small subunit ribosomal RNA", at positions 338 to 795 of the family's 1533-position model. The record is from RNAcentral.
CCUACGGGCGGCAGCAGUGGGGAAUAUUGCACAAUGGGGGAAACCCUGAUGCAGCGACGCCGCGUGAGUGAAGAAGUAUUUCGGUAUGUAAAGCUCUAUCAGCAGGGAAGAAGAAAGACGGUACCUGACUAAGAAGCCCCGGCUAACUACGUGCCAGCAGCCGCGGUAAUACGUAGGGGGCAAGCGUUAUCCGGAUUUACUGGGUGUAAAGGGAGCGUAGACGGCUGUGCAAGUCUGAAGUGAAAGCCCAGGGCUCAACCCUGGGACUGCUUUGGAAACUGUGGAGCUAGAGUGCUGGAGAGGUAAGUGGAAUUCCUAGUGUAGCGGUGAAAUGCGUAGAUAUUAGGAGGAACACCAGUGGCGAAGGCGGCUUACUGGACAGUAACUGACGUUGAGGCACGAAGGCCAGGGGAGCGAAAGGGAUUAGAUACCCCUGUAGUC